This 680-nucleotide long non-coding RNA is filed under the name Daucus carota (carrot). RNAcentral's name for it is "long non-coding RNA (DCAR_LNC004632)". Lineage: Eukaryota; Viridiplantae; Streptophyta; Magnoliopsida; Apiales; Apiaceae. The record is from RNAcentral.
GAUAAUGUAACAAAAUUUUUAUACUAAAUAUGUAUAUUAAGGUAUUGCAGAAUUAAUGACAUCAUAUAUAAUACCAAGUUACAAAAGACCUUUGGCAUAACCUAAAACUAAACCACCAUCAUCUCUGCAUAUCUAGCAAGAGCGAAACGACAGUGAAUUCGAAAGGUAGUGGUGGUUGUGGUGGCGGAGACGCCGAAAGCUACCGCUUUCUUUCUCGAUCUGCCACCGGAGAUGAACGAACUCGUCUACCGAACAUGGCAGCUUGAGGGGGCCAGAAACGUGGUAUCCGUAGACCUCGUGUGCUCUGUCAAGAAGUUGUCGAAACAGUGGAUUGUAAAGAUACGAAAUCGGUAUGACGAAUCUUGAGGCCUCGAGUUCCUCCUCUAGGCCGACUUGGACCGCGAUGCAUCCUUUCUUCACUUCCAUCUUUUUUUCCAUUUGAUGAUGGGUGUUUAGGUCGGAUAGUUUGAGUGUGGGAGUGAGAGAGAGAGAGUUUGUUUUGAAAUUGAAGAGAUAGGUUGGCCAUAUAUAUAGGGACUUGGACGUUGGACCGAGCCUAAUAAAGCAUAAGAAAAUAUUUUAGCUACAAAAUUCUGUACAGAAUUUUAUAUGUUAAGUUUUGAUUGAAUUUUCUAUAUAUGUUAAGUUUUCUAUGUAAUAAAAUAAAUUUUAUAUUAUAA